GGCACUGUAGCUCAGCCUGGUAGAGCAAGCGGUUCAUACCCGCUCUGUCACUGGUUCAAAUCCAGUCAGUGCCA
RNAcentral lists this transfer RNA (74 nucleotides) under Pseudomonadota bacterium. RNAcentral describes it as "tRNA-Met". It matches the Rfam family "tRNA". From Rfam's summary of the family: Transfer RNA (tRNA) molecules are approximately 80 nucleotides in length. Their secondary structure includes four short double-helical elements and three loops (D, anti-codon, and T loops). RNAcentral also lists the same sequence under 1 other name. Lineage: Bacteria; Pseudomonadati; Pseudomonadota. The record is from RNAcentral.